This 253-nucleotide ribosomal RNA is filed under the name uncultured bacterium. RNAcentral describes it as "partial 16S ribosomal RNA". It matches the Rfam family "Bacterial small subunit ribosomal RNA", at positions 524 to 776 of the family's 1533-position model. The record is from RNAcentral.
UACGUAGGGUGCAAGCGUUGUCCGGAAUUAUUGGGCGUAAAGGGCGCGUAGGCGGCUUGGCAAGUGGAAGGUGAAAUCCCUCGGCUUAACCGAGGAACUGCCCUCCAAACUGCUUUGCUUGAGGCCGGGAGAGGCGAGUGGAAUUCCCAGUGUAGCGGUGAAAUGCGUAGAUAUUGGGAGGAACACCAGUGGCGAAGGCAGCACUCUGGGACGGUACUGACGCUGAGACGCGAAAGCGUGGGGAGCAAACAGG